UUGAGUCGACACUCAUAGUUCGCUACACACAGACCUGGAUCCUGGGAGCAAAAAAAUCAAGUAUAUCCUAUCAGGUGAUGGAGCUGGGACCAUAUUUCAAAUAA
Molecule: small RNA, 104 nt
Filed under: Pongo abelii (Sumatran orangutan)
Lineage: Eukaryota; Metazoa; Chordata; Mammalia; Primates; Hominidae
Description: processed transcript
Source: RNAcentral